This is a long non-coding RNA of Diabrotica virgifera virgifera (western corn rootworm), 1090 nucleotides long. RefSeq lists it as uncharacterized. The transcript is spliced from 4 exons. The record is from RefSeq and is a predicted model, not a curated record. NCBI's taxonomy places the organism in Eukaryota, Metazoa, Arthropoda, Insecta, Coleoptera, Chrysomelidae.
UGUUCGUUCGUUCGUUGUCGUUCAGUUAUUUUAUAUGGUCGGUUAUGUGAUGUGUUUUUUGUGUCACCAUAAAAAGCUGAUAUUCAGUCGUGUUUUUUGAUAUUUUUGUUAUUUUGUAAUCGUGUAUCUUUUUAAAGGUCUAAUGGCUCCGUUCAGCUGUUGUGUGCAGACGGUGGAAAAGUUCAACAAGUAAACAUUUAUUUAAUCCAAAUUAAUACUCAUAUUUCUAUGUAAAAUGUCACAUUAUUUUAUAAAUAAAUAAGUAAGAAACAAAAGUUGUUUGUGUUUUACCUUUAUUGUCCAAUUGAAUAAAAUAUUAAAUAUUGGAAGUACCGUAUGGAGGCUACGUACCUAGCAUGGAGGCUAGAUUGUGGCACCCUUCCUAUCCAAUCAACAACAAGAGCGUUUAAAAUUUCACACCUAUCAUGUCGAAGCUACAGACCACUUAUGUGGAGGCCAGAUUUGUAGUAUCCUUCCAUUUAACCAGGUGCUGAGAUGGCGCUGAAAUACGUGACAUGUUUUUUAAAGAGUAAGAUCGCAUUCUACCAAAUCACACAACACUUUUUUCUAUGGUCGGGAACAAUGGAUUAAUGGAUAUGUAAAAGCCAUAAGGAGAACAGAACUAAAAUUAAAAUAUGAAAGAAUAUGCAAUAAACAUUGUAUAAAAGUGGAAAGCCAGCCACUUUAAAAAGAUAUUCCAAACUAAAACAUGGGUUACCAAAGCAGGCAAUAAAAAGAAAAGGUGAUCUAGAAUGCAAGAGAAGAGCUGAUGAAAGAAGUAAAUGUAAAGAAAAUAAUGAAGAGACUUCUCUUGACCAUGAACAAACACCAGCUAUUUUAUAUAUGUAGAAAAAGGAAAAACUGCUGGAACUUUACUUUAAAGGCUUUUGACUAGUGAAGAUUUGGAUAAACAACAGGAGUUACUUUGGGCUAUAGCUACGUGCAAAUUUAUUUUCUUGUGGCUUCCUAUGUUUAUUCUUAUUAACUAUAUCUACACUUUGAUAUGUUUUUAGUCGCAUGAAGAUUUUAUAGUUUAUUAUUUUAUGUAUAUUGUUAUAUUUGUGUUGAAUAAACAUUAUUAUUAUUAUUA